UGUAUGUAGGGGAUAUUAAUUAAUCCAUGCCCUUAUAUUUAUUUUUCUACAUAAAUUACUGGAGGCCUGAGAUGAAAGUUACUCCAGUUGAAGGCAGCCAAAAAUUUCCAGCAAUGAACCUAUCAACUGUAAAUUUGGCAGCUUCAUCACGCCCCAUAACAUGGAAUCCUGGCCAGGUUACCCUCCCGGAAGUUCCAGCUCCGGGUCCGACAUUUGCAUACUCGGCAAAAUACAACGAUUUUGAGUAACCCCCUUCUCCGGGCCAUUCGACCCAACCUCUUGAAGCGAUGGCAUUGUCUAUUGUUGAUUCCAUGACUACUGCUCGAGAAUAUUGUUUCCAGGGCCUACCAAGAUAUGAUUCAAAGCUAUGUUUAACGGGAGAAAAAUCUGAGCUUGGCACUAUCCGACAAUUCUGAACCGAGAAGCCGGU
This 430-nucleotide long non-coding RNA is filed under the name Gossypium barbadense (sea-island cotton). RNAcentral describes it as "long non-coding RNA (GBAR_LNC005859)". Lineage: Eukaryota; Viridiplantae; Streptophyta; Magnoliopsida; Malvales; Malvaceae. The record is from RNAcentral.